CCUACGGGUGGCAGCAGUGGGGGAUAUUGCACAAUGGGGGGAACCCUGAUGCAGCGACGCCGCGUGGGGGAAGGAGUGCUUCGGCAGGUAAAGCCCUAUCGGCAGGGAGGAAGCAAGACGGUACCUGACUAAGAAGCCCCGGCUAACUACGUGGCAGCAGCCGCGGUCAUACGUAGGGGGCGGGCGUUAUCCGGAUUCACGGGGUGGAAGGGGAGCGUAGACGGCCAUGCAUGCCAAGGGUAAAAGCCCGGGGCCCAACCCCGGGACGGCCCUUGGAAAUGCAUGGCUGGAGUGCGGGAGGGGCAGGCGGAAUGACUGGUGUAGCGGUGAAAUGCGUAGAUAUCAGACGGAACACCGGCGGCGAAGGCGGCCUGCUGGACCGCGACUGACGUUGAGGCUCGAAAGCGUGGGGAGCGAACAGGAUUAGAUACCCGGGUAGUC
This 441-nucleotide ribosomal RNA is filed under the name uncultured bacterium. RNAcentral describes it as "partial 16S ribosomal RNA". It matches the Rfam family "Bacterial small subunit ribosomal RNA", at positions 338 to 795 of the family's 1533-position model. The record is from RNAcentral.